This is a non-coding RNA of Mycena latifolia, 90 nucleotides long. NCBI's taxonomy places the organism in Eukaryota, Fungi, Basidiomycota, Agaricomycetes, Agaricales, Mycenaceae. The record is from the annotation of a GenBank genome assembly.
GGCCUGGUGGUGUAGUGGUAACAUACUCGACCAUGUGCGGAGUAUGCGUGAAUUCACAGAGAGAUCCUUGUUCGAUUCAAGGCCAGGCCA